GACGAACGCUGGCGGCGUGCCUAAUACAUGCAAGUUGAGCGCUGAAGGUUGGUACUUGUACCAACUGGAUGAGCAGCGAACGGGUGAGUAACGCGUGGGGAAUCUGCCUUUGAGCGGGGGACAACAUUUGGAAACGAAUGCUAAUACCGCAUAAAAACUUUAAACACAAGUUUUAAGUUUGAAAGAUGCAAUUGCAUCACUCAAAGAUGAUCCCGCGUUGUAUUAGCUAGUUGGUGAGGUAAAGGCUCACCAAGGCGAUGAUACAUAGCCGACCUGAGAGGGUGAUCGGCCACAUUGGGACUGAGGCACGGCCCAAACUCCUACGGGAGGCAGCAGUAGGGAAUCUUCGGCAAUGGACGAAAGUCUGACCGAGCAACGCCGCGUGAGUGAAGAAGGUGUUCGGAUCGUAAAACUCUGUUGGUAGAGAAGAACGUUGGUGAGAGUGGAAAGCUCAUCAAGUGACGGUAACUACCCAGAAAGGGACGGCUAACUACGUG
This 497-nucleotide ribosomal RNA is filed under the name uncultured bacterium. Its description in RNAcentral is "partial 16S ribosomal RNA". It matches the Rfam family "Bacterial small subunit ribosomal RNA", at positions 28 to 507 of the family's 1533-position model. The record is from RNAcentral.